Molecule: long non-coding RNA, 2320 nt
Organism: Xenopus laevis (African clawed frog)
Lineage: Eukaryota; Metazoa; Chordata; Amphibia; Anura; Pipidae
Exons: 4
Source: RefSeq, a predicted model, not a curated record
CUCGGGGACGGACAUAUUUUCCUCCUCUCCAGAAUUUUUAGAAUUUUAUCAAGCCAGAAUACGACAAGAAAAGGUUCUUGUGUGCUGCACAUGAAGAACAUUCCAAUCUCCAUACCCUUGAUCCAGUCAGGGCCUUACAGAAAUAUGUCAUUCAGACCAAAUCAUUUCGGAAGUCAGAGUCUCUCUUUGUUUACAUGGUGGCCAUAGUGCAGGUAACAAAGCAUCUAAACGAACUAUUGCUCGAUGGAUAGUGUCCACCAUACAUACAGCUUAUUCACUAGCAAAUCAACCGUCUCCUGUUCAUACUAAGGCUCAUUCUACAAGGAAGGUCGGUACUUCCUGGGCAUUUUUCAACAAUGUUUCUCCGGAGAGCAUUUGCAGAGCUGCAACUUGGACUUCGCUGCAUACUUUUUCCAGAUUUUACAGACUGAAUUUACAACACAAAGCCGACUUUCAAUUCGGCAGAGUGGUUCUACAAGCAGCUAAUUCAGUUUAAUUCAGUUUUACAUGUAUAUAGUUCCCUCCCUAUUUUUGGACGGCUUUGGGACAUCCCCAGACGUCCUGCACUGACAGGUAGGGCCGACCGCAUAAAGGAGAUUUACUUACCGAUAAAUUCCUUUUGCGUAGGCCCGUACUGUCAGUGCAGCAUCCCACCCUGUUUUUGCGGAUGCCGCGUUUUUUUGCGUAACUUAGUAAGAUAUCAGUUCUCCACUCGCAGACUUUAUAACAAACUGAUGGGAGGAAGUGGAGAACGGGAAGAGGAGGAGCUCAAGAAAGAGUUACUGUUUGUCCUGCCUCCAGAGGGGAGAACAUUAACCCCAGACGUCCUGCACUGACAGUACGGGCCUACGCAAAAGGAAUUUAUCGUGAAAUAUUCCAAGCGAUUUGCGAGAGACCGAUUUGAGAGAGAAAGUGAUUGUGAGAGAGACCGCAAAAGAAGAAGAGAGAGAGAAGCAAAGAGAAGAGAGAAGACAAAGAAGAAAGAAGACCUUGAGUGACCCCCUGCCAGAGAUUAAUAAUAUUUUCUCAUUUGGGAUCCUCUGGACAAAGGGGUGUCGAAGAUGGGCUUGUGUUCAAGCAAGGACCGCCUUUACAUAAAAGGCUAUCGCCAGCUUGCCUUAUAGCUUCUUUGCAUGAUUUAUUGGCCUCCUUGUACCUUAUAAAUGAUUCGGCUUAAAUCCCUCUACAAACAACAGAUAAACUGGGCAAUUUUCAAGUACAUGGAAACAUAUCCAGGUACAGUAUCUAAUGAAUUUAUUUGUUCAAUUAUUACUAUUUUGUAUUAGGGCUGAUGUAUUGAAAGUCAUUGCAAUGCUGUGAUUUUGUGAAAAACAAUCACAAAAAGAACAUAUAAAUCCUGCGCAGCUGAAACCUAUUGAGAUGCCAUAGAAACUAAUAGGAAGUGUAUCUUCAUAAUUUUGGCAAGGGAUUGGGAUCAAAUUGCUUGAAAAUGCAGAGAAACUUGUGAUUUGCAACUUGUCCCAUAAUCACAGAGGGAAAUGGUACAUUCGCAUUUAGUGAUGUUAAUUUGCAUAACUGCCAUAUUACUGAUUAAAAUCCCCCAAAAUGUUAUAGAAUUUCUACAGAGAUAUCACUUGCUAAGGUAAAACCCUUGGGUACAAGUUUAACGUUAUUUUGUUUGGUUUUGCAGAGAGCCCACCAGCCACAAGCACCGUCGAAAUUUACACUGUACCGCACAUCGUUUUCAAUCCAUCCCUCAAAAUGCAGAAGUCGGGUCUGCAGACUGCCUGGGGCCCAAUGGAAAGACAGGAAUGCAGGGUUCACUUUGUAGCUUAAUGGUGCUCAUGUUUAUGCAGCCAUAUUCCCUUCUAUUUAAGUUCCCUCCACCGCAAUUCCAACCACAGUGUCCCUAAUUUCCCCAAUUAUUUCUACUGUAAUUCCACCAGUGGUGCCACACUUACACCUAAAAUAUUGUUCCAUAGACAAGAGCACCCUCAAGCCACUCGGUAGACCCUGCAUUUCUGUCCACUCCAUCCCUCAGACUGCAGAAGCCCGGGUCUACAGGCUGUCUGGGGUCCAAUAGAAUGGAAUGUAGUGUUCACCUUGUAGCUUAAAGGCGCGCAUGUGUAUGCUGCCAUAUUCCCUUCUGUUUCCUUCAUCCUGCUUCACUUGAUUUAAUUUGGCGCAUUGAUCCUGGGAGCUAAUCCGAUCGCCGUUAAGGGGUCAGGAAAGAAUUUUUCCCUCUAGUAAGCAGAUUGUCCCAAGCUUGCCAGAGGUUUUUUGCCUUCCUCUGGAUCAAAUAGUGCAGUUUAUCUAAUUAUUAUCAAUAAAACUGUGACUUACACAGAUUUAACAUCAA